GGGGGCGAUCUGGUUUCGACGUGGUCGAUUCUCCGGCUGAGCUGCAAGCCGAGGUCCCGGAGGCCUCGUAAAAAACCGGGAAACAACGCAAGUGCGGAUAACGAACUCGCACUCGCCGCCUAACCCAGUUAGGUGACGCGUCGCUCCGACCUCGGCCCGUGGGCCGGUAGCGGCGUCAGAAACGGGCUCGGCGCCAAGGGAGAGCCACUCGCCCGCGGCGCGACAUCUCAGGAGGGCUGGCCCGGCGGUAGGUCGGUUGCGCACCGGCCGUCCGGGCGAGAUUGCAAGCGCAGCCUAAGCUUGUAGACGCUCUGUCCGGUGCGUCCGCGGACGCGGGUUCGAUUCCCGCCGCCUCCAUAG
RNAcentral lists this transfer-messenger RNA (360 nucleotides) under Gaiellaceae. RNAcentral describes it as "JACDAS01 sp013695295 Standard tmRNA". It matches the Rfam family "transfer-messenger RNA". Rfam says of the family: Bacterial tmRNA, also known as 10Sa RNA or SsrA, is named for its dual tRNA and mRNA-like properties. Its role is to liberate the mRNA from a stalled ribosome. The record is from RNAcentral. RNAcentral also lists the same sequence under 1 other name. Lineage: Bacteria; Bacillati; Actinomycetota; Thermoleophilia; Gaiellales.